UGGGAGUGAGAAUGUUGGCAUGAGUAGCGAGAUGUGGGUGAGAAUCCCACAGGCCGUAAACCCAAGGUUUCCAGGGGAAGGUUCGUCCGCCCUGGGUUAGUCGGGACCUAAGCUGAGGCCGAAAGGCGUAGGUGAUGGACAACAGGUUGAUAUUCCUGUACUACCGAUAACCGUUUGAGAGAAGGGAUGACACAGUAGGAUAAGCUAAGCACACUGUUGGUUAUGUGUGCCCAAGCAUUGAGGCAGUCAAAGCAGGCAAAUCCGCUUUGAUAAUGCUGGGAUGUGAUGGGGAGCGAAAUUUAGUAGCGAAGUAGCUGAUUUCACACUGUCAAGAAAAGUCUCUAUCGAGGUUAAAGGUACCCGUACCGCAAACCGACACAGGUGGGUGAGGAGAGUAUCCUAAGGCCAGCGAGAGAACUGUUGUUAAGGAACUCGGCAAAAUGACCCCGUAACGUAGGGAUAAGGGGGGCAACAACCGGGUGGCCGCAGAGAGGAGGCGCA
Molecule: ribosomal RNA, 501 nt
Filed under: Clostridioides difficile
Lineage: Bacteria; Bacillati; Bacillota; Clostridia; Peptostreptococcales; Peptostreptococcaceae
Description: bacterial LSU rRNA
Rfam family: Bacterial large subunit ribosomal RNA
Source: RNAcentral